AUUGAACGCUGGCGGCAGGCUUAACACAUGCAAGUCGAGCGGAGAGAGGUAGCUUGCUACUGAUCUUAGCGGCGGACGGGUGAGUAAUGCUUAGGAAUCUGCCUAUUAGUGGGGGACAACAUUUCGAAAGGAAUGCUAAUACCGCAUACGUCCUACGGGAGAAAGCAGGGGAUCUUCGGACCUUGCGCUAAUAGAUGAGCCUAAGUCGGAUUAGCUAGUUGGUGGGGUAAAGGCCUACCAAGGCGACGAUCUGUAGCGGGUCUGAGAGGAUGAUCCGCCACCCUGGGACUGAGACACGGCCCAGACGCCUACGGGAGGCAGCAGUGGGGAAUAUUGGACAAUGGGCGGAAGCCUGAUCCAGCCAUGCCUCGUGUGUGAAGAAGGCCUUAUGGUUGUAAAGCACUUUAAGCGAGGAGGAGGCUACUUUAGUUAAUACCUAGAGAUAGUGGACGUUACUCGCAGAAUAAGCACCGGCUAACUCUGUGCCAGCCGCCGCGGUAA
Molecule: ribosomal RNA, 501 nt
Filed under: uncultured bacterium
Lineage: Bacteria
Description: partial 16S ribosomal RNA
Rfam family: Bacterial small subunit ribosomal RNA
Source: RNAcentral